GUGAAUCAUCGAAUCUUUGAACGCACAUUGCACUCCUUGGUAUUCCGGAGAGUAUGCCUAUUUGAGGGUCAUCUGAAACCAUAUAAACUCCAAGAUUUUUCGCAAUUUAAAAUGGGUUGCCCACUUUCUGUGGUCGCCUAAAUUCCAAGACAAGCUCAUCUCCUCUCGUUGCGUGCUACUCCCAGUUACCACGUGACGUA
RNAcentral lists this unclassified non-coding RNA (200 nucleotides) under Ambisporaceae sp. RNAcentral's name for it is "partial contains 5.8S ribosomal RNA and internal transcribed spacer 2". The stretch from base 1 to 71 matches the Rfam family "5.8S ribosomal RNA", at positions 84 to 154 of the family's 154-position model. The record is from RNAcentral. Lineage: Eukaryota; Fungi; Glomeromycota; Glomeromycetes; Archaeosporales; Ambisporaceae.